GAAGGGGGCUAGCGUUGCUCGGAAUCACUGGGCGUAAAGCGCACGUAGGCGGAUCAUUAAGUCGGAGGUGAAAUCCUGGAGCUCAACUCCAGAACUGCCUUCGAUACUGGAGAUCUUGAGUCCGGGAGAGGUGAGUGGAACUGCGAGUGUAGAGGUGAAAUUCGUAGAUAUUCGCAAGAACACCAGUGGCGAAGGCGGCUCACUGGCCCGGUACUGACGCUGAUGUGCGAAAGCGUGGGGAGCAAACAGGAUUAGAUACCCUGGUAGUCCACGCCGUAAACGAUGGAUGCUAGCCGUUGGCGAGCUUGCUCGUCAGUGGCGCAGCUAACGCAUUAAGCAUCCCGCCUGGGGAGUACGGUCGCAAGAUUA
This 369-nucleotide ribosomal RNA is filed under the name uncultured bacterium. RNAcentral's name for it is "bacterial SSU rRNA". It matches the Rfam family "Bacterial small subunit ribosomal RNA", at positions 527 to 896 of the family's 1533-position model. The record is from RNAcentral.